UCGAAACCUGCCCAGCAGAGCGACCCGUGAACAUGUUCAACCUCAUGGGUGCUGGGGCGUUGCUCGGUGCCUCGUGUGCCUGMCCGCCCCUCGMCCAGGCCGGGGAGCUCCCACUUGUGGGCUGUUCCCCGGCUAACCAACGAACCCCGGCGCGUAAAUGCGUCAAGGAAUAUAAACUUUAUGUGUGUGCUCUCCUAUCGCCCGGUUAGCCGGGCGUUGGAGCGGUGCCAUGUCUUAACAAUA
This 243-nucleotide ribosomal RNA is filed under the name Silene roemeri (Roemer's campion). The record is from RNAcentral. Lineage: Eukaryota; Viridiplantae; Streptophyta; Magnoliopsida; Caryophyllales; Caryophyllaceae.